Molecule: ribosomal RNA, 850 nt
Filed under: uncultured bacterium
Lineage: Bacteria
Description: bacterial SSU rRNA
Rfam family: Bacterial small subunit ribosomal RNA
Source: RNAcentral
CAAGACGAACGGUAAGUUUGAUAGCAAUAUUGAACCAAGAGUGUCGUAAGGGUGCGUAACGGGUAUGCAAUCUGCCCUUGACAGGAGGAUAGCUCCCCGAAAGGGGAAUUAACCCUCCAUAAGAUAUUAGAGUGGCAUCACUUAGAUAUUAAAACUGAGGUGGUCAAGGAUGAGCAUGCUUCUGAUUAGCUAGUUGGCGGGGUAACGGCCCACCAAGGCGAUGAUCAGUAGGGGAACUGAGAGGUUGAUCCCCCACACUGGCACUGAGAUACGGGCCAGACUCCUACGGGAGGCAGCAGUAGGGAAUAUUGGACAAUGGGUGAGAGCCUGAUCCAGCCAUGCCGCGUGCAGGAAGACGGCCUUCUGGGUUGUAAACUGCUUUUGCCAGGGGAUAAAAAGCCCAUGCGUGGGAAAUUGAAGGUACCUGGUGAAUAAGCCACGGCUAACUACGUGCCAGCAGCCGCGGUAAUACGUAGGUGGCAAGCGUUGUCCGGAUUUAUUGGGUUUAAAGGGUGCGUAGGCGGUCAAUUAAGUCAGUGGUGAAAUACGUCAGCUUAACUGUCGAGGUGCCAUUGAUACUGGUUGACUUGAGUACUGAUGAGGUAGGCGGAAUGGACGGUGUAGCGGUGAAAUGCUUAGAUAUCGUCCAGAACACCGAUAGCGAAGGCAGCUUACUAAAGAGUAACUGACGCUGAGGCACGAAAGUGUGGGGAUCAAACAGGAUUAGAUACCCUGGUAGUCCACACUGUAAACGUUGAUCACUCGAUGUUGGCGAUACACAGCCAGCGUCUUAGCAAAAGCGAUAAGUGAUCCACCUGGGGAGUACGCCCGCAAGGGUGAAACUCAAAGG